AUGAACGCUGGCGGCGUGCUUAACACAUGCAAGUCGAACGGAAAGGCUCCUGCUUGCAGGGGUACUCGAGUGGCGAACGGGUGAGUAACACGUGGGUGAUCUGCCCUGCACUUCGGGAUAAGCCUGGGAAACUGGGUCUAAUACCGGAUAGGACGAUGGUUUGGAUGCCAUUGUGGAAAGUUUUUCGGUGUGGGAUGAGCUCGCGGCCUAUCAGCUUGUUGGUGGGGUAAUGGCCUACCAAGGCGUCGACGGGUAGCCGGCCUGAGAGGGUGUACGGCCACAUUGGGACUGAGAUACGGCCCAGACUCCUACGGGAGGCAGCAGUGGGGAAUAUUGCACAAUGGGCGCAAGCCUGAUGCAGCGACGCCGCGUGGGGGAUGACGGCCUUCUGGUUGUAAACUCCUUUCGCUAGGGACGAAGCGCAAGUGACGGUACCUGGAGAAGAAGCACCGGCUAACUACGUG
RNAcentral lists this ribosomal RNA (464 nucleotides) under uncultured bacterium. RNAcentral describes it as "partial 16S ribosomal RNA". It matches the Rfam family "Bacterial small subunit ribosomal RNA", at positions 29 to 507 of the family's 1533-position model. The record is from RNAcentral.